This 497-nucleotide ribosomal RNA is filed under the name uncultured bacterium. RNAcentral's name for it is "partial 16S ribosomal RNA". It matches the Rfam family "Bacterial small subunit ribosomal RNA", at positions 28 to 507 of the family's 1533-position model. The record is from RNAcentral.
GAUGAACGCUGGCGGCGUGCCUAAUACAUGCAAGUCGAGCGAACAGACGAGGAGCUUGCUCCUCUGACGUUAGCGGCGGACGGGUGAGUAACACGUGGAUAACCUACCUAUAAGACUGGGAUAACUUCGGGAAACCGGAGCUAAUACCGGAUAAUAUAUUGAACCGCAUGGUUCAAUAGUGAAAGACGGUUUUGCUGUCACUUAUAGAUGGAUCCGCGCCGCAUGAGCUAGUUGGUAAGGUAACGGCUUACUAAGGCAACGAUGCGUAGCCGACCUGAGAGAGUGAUCGGCCACAUGGGAGCGGAGCCGCGGUCCAGGCUCCUACGGGAGGCAGCAGUAGGGAAUCUGCGGCAGUGGGCGAGAGCUUGACGGAACGGCGCCGCGUGAGUGAUGAAGGUCUUGGGAUCGUAAAACCCGGUUAUUAGGGAAAAACAAAUGUGUAAGUAACUGUGCACGUCUUGACGGUACCUAAUCAGAAAGCCACGGCUAACUACGUG